Quercus robur (English oak) is the source of this 629-nucleotide long non-coding RNA. RefSeq lists it as uncharacterized. The record is from RefSeq and is a predicted model, not a curated record. The transcript has 2 exons. Lineage: Eukaryota; Viridiplantae; Streptophyta; Magnoliopsida; Fagales; Fagaceae.
CUUUGGUCAGGAGCUAGCGCAAAGAGCCUUCUUUACGCCACCAAUGAAUAAACGCCACACUAUAUUUCUACUGAAAACCCAAUACACUUCAACACACACAAUUAUAACUCAAUCUCCAACACGUAUCAGACCUGCCUGAAGAACUAAACAGCUCCAACGCCUAAACCCAUUCCACCUCCUUUCCAUAUACUACCGGACCUCCACCUCGCCGCUGAAACUGCCGCACACGUCAGUAAGGAGCUAGCGCCGCCGCACCGGAGCUCCACCUCGUCGUUCAAGGGCUUGUUUCUCUACCUACGAUGCUGGUUUGGCACUAUGGUUCUUGAUUUUGAGCGAUUCUUGGUCAUAUAUUGACUACUUGUUCUUUUUUUGACAUGAAUGUAUUAUAUGAGUGUGUUAUCUAGAAUAGAAGGGGAAAAUUUUGAGUCUUUCGUUCCUACUCUGUGGCUUUUCUGUUUUCUGUUGUGGGUGUUUUAUUUGCUUUAUGUUGCUUGGUAUAUAGCCCACAAAGCAAAUAUAAGAUUGUUAGGAAAGGAGAGGAGGAGUUAGACGUUGGAGCUGUUUAGUUCUUCAGGUCUGCCUGAUACAUGUUUAAGGAUUUUGAGUUUAAUUGAGUUAUAAUUAUGUGU